UACGUAGGUGGCGAGCGUUAUCCGGAUUUAUUGGGUUUAAAGGGUCCGUAGGCGGUUUAGUAAGUCAGUGGUGAAAUCCCAUCGCUCAACGGUGGAACGGCCAUUGAUACUGCUAGACUUGAAUUAUUAGGAAGUAACUAGAAUAUGUAGUGUAGCGGUGAAAUGCUUAGAGAUUACAUGGAAUACCAAUUGCGAAGGCAGGUUACUAACAAUAUAUUGACGCUGAUGGACGAAAGCGUGGGGAGCGAACAGG
RNAcentral lists this ribosomal RNA (253 nucleotides) under uncultured bacterium. Its description in RNAcentral is "partial 16S ribosomal RNA". It matches the Rfam family "Bacterial small subunit ribosomal RNA", at positions 524 to 776 of the family's 1533-position model. The record is from RNAcentral.